This 495-nucleotide ribosomal RNA is filed under the name uncultured bacterium. RNAcentral describes it as "bacterial SSU rRNA". It matches the Rfam family "Bacterial small subunit ribosomal RNA", at positions 28 to 521 of the family's 1533-position model. The record is from RNAcentral.
GACGAACGCUGGCGGCGUGCUUAACACAUGCAAGUCGAACGGUAAGGCCCUUCGGGUACGACGAGUGGCGAACGGGUGAGUAACACGUGGGUGAUCUGCCCUGCACUUCGGGAUAAGCUUGGGAAACUGGGUCUAAUACCGGAUAGGACCACGGUCUGCAUGGAUUGUGGUGGAAAGCUUUUGCGGUGUGGGAUGGGCCCGCGGCCUAUCAGCUUGUUGGUGGGGUGAUGGCCUACCAAGGCGACGACGGGUAGCCGGCCUGAGAGGGUGUCCGGCCACACUGGGACUGAGAUACGGCCCAGACUCCUACGGGAGGCAGCAGUGGGGAAUUUUGGACAAUGGGCGCAAGCCUGAUCCAGCCAUGCCGCGUGAGUGAAGAAGGCCUUCGGUUGUAAAGCUCUUUUGUCUAGGAGCAAACCUACAGACUAAUACUCUGUGGGGAGUGAGAGUACCUGAAGAAUAAGCACCGGCUAACUACGUGCCAGCAGCCGCGGU